This 479-nucleotide ribosomal RNA is filed under the name uncultured soil bacterium. RNAcentral describes it as "bacterial SSU rRNA". It matches the Rfam family "Bacterial small subunit ribosomal RNA", at positions 26 to 518 of the family's 1533-position model. The record is from RNAcentral.
AGGAUAAACGCUGGCGGCGUGCAUGAGACAUGCAAGUCGAACGGACGGUCGAGGCUUGCCUUGAUCGUUAGUGGCGGACGGCUGAGUAACGCGUAGGUGACCUGCCCCGAAGUGGGGGAUAACUGCCCGAAAGGGUGGCUAAUACCGCAUGUGGUGGUUCGUUCAAUCGACCCAUCAAAGCAGCAAUGCGCUUCGGGAGGGGCCUGCGUCCGAUUAGCUCGUUGGUGGGGUAACGGCUCACCAAGGCGACGAUCGGUAGGUGGUCUGAGAGGACGAUCACCCAGACUGGGACUGAGACACGGCCCAGACUCCUACGGGAGGCAGCAGUCGGGAAUUUGCGCAAUGGGCGAAAGCCUGACGCAGCAACGCCGCGUGAGGAUGAAGGCCUUACGGGUUGUAAACCGUUCUUUUUUACGAGGGUACGAUAAUGACGGUACCUAGACGAAUAAGUCACGGCUAAACUACGUGCCAGCAGCCGC